UGUUUUUAUUUUUUAGGGUUCAUCAUGUGUUCUUAGGAAAAUUCGAAAUUCCUUUAUGUUUUGGAAUAUAAUUUGGAUUUUUGAGUGUUAUUUCCCUGUUUAUUCCAAUUUAAUCUGUUAAGUUUAUUCGAAAACUGUUAAAAGAUAUACAGUUAUAAUUUUCGAAAUAUUAUGAUAAAAUUAGAUCAUCACUAAAACAGGAAACCAUAUCUCAAAAUCCCUAACAAUUCGAAUUUUCGGUUAUGUUUUCACAUUAAUAGCUGUAACAGAAGUUUCGAGAUAAGUUUUAACCACCCGAGACAAAGGUCUCGACUCGAGACCACAAGAACUCGACUCGAAAUCAUAAGUGUUCUCAAAUGUUUAUAACUCGAGACAACGAUUUCGACUCGAGAUCAUAAGGUCUCGACUCGAGACCACUGAGGUUUCCACUAAGGGCUUAAAUCUGCUUAUCUAACACUCACAGUAAAUGAUUACUCGGCUAAGUGGGAGAAUGUCUCGACUCGAGACCAUAACGUCAUAACU
Molecule: long non-coding RNA, 522 nt
Filed under: Helianthus annuus (common sunflower)
Lineage: Eukaryota; Viridiplantae; Streptophyta; Magnoliopsida; Asterales; Asteraceae
Description: sRNA HanXRQr2_Chr01g0030541
Source: RNAcentral